GCAUGGCGGAGGGGCUACAACGUGACCGCAGUGGGGCAGUUAAGGAGGUCCGUCCACAAUGUUUUAAAGGCUUUUCCCUGUAAGGUGCCAUUGUACAGCUGUGUCUAGUGUUGCAGCCAUGUGCAUGAUCUCCAAAAUGAAGAUGUUGUAUACGGCCAAUUACCACACUCUUCUGAGCCAUCCCGGUUGCUGCUCCACCCCUUCUGCCAAUCCGGGGAGGGCUGCAGGCUAUCACAUGCCUCCUCCGAUACAUGUGGAGUCAUCAGCCACUUCUUUUCACCUGACAGUGAGGAGUUUCACCAGGGGGACAUAGCAUGUGGGAGGAUCACUAUAUUCCCCCCAGCUCACCCCUGAACAGGCAUCCCGACCGACCAGAGGAGGCGCUAGUGCAGCGACCAGGACACAUCCACAUCCGGCUUCCCACCCGCAGACACGGCCAAAUGUGUCUGUAGGGACGUCCAACCAAGCCGGAGGUAACACGGGGAUUCAAACCGGUGAUCCUCAUGUUGGCAGGCAACGGAGUAGACCACUACGCUACCCGGAUGCCCCUACAUUGAGCUUUUCUAAUGAACACUUCAACAAGGCUCCACCUUGUCGUCCAUCACCGCUGACGAAAGAGAGGAUGAUGUUUUCCUCGUCAUAGUAUUGCAUGGAUGUAGGCAUUCAGCUACUUAGUACAAAUGCAGGUAAGCUGUUAGCUUCUCCUCUCAGAAGAGCAGAAUACAGUGUAGUCAUGUCUGUAUAAGGUCCUGCGUUGUAGGUAUAAUUCAACUGUAUAGAUGAAUGCACAAAUGCAUGGUUGCAUAACCGUGUGAUUAAUUUUGACCUAUAAUUUGUUCCUAUUUUUACUCUGCUGAGUUGGUGAAAUUGCAGUCUAGACCUGGCUGUUUUCAAAAAUCUGUGGAAUGUUAUAUAAAAGGUAUUGUGAUCAUGGAGUUCAGCACAGCGUUUGUCCCUUUUUCACCAUGGGAAACUUGGUCAUUUACUCGGGUACAGUAUUAUAGUAGUCUGCUGAACACACAGAUGUCAAAAUGCUGCCAGUGACCAUACCCCGUGAAAGGUAAUGCUUAUUGAUGAUCUAAGUCCUGUGUAUAUUCUUGUACACACUGGAGACAUCUAGUUGUAAAAGCCUGUUGAAAAAGGUGGAAAUAUUGUAAAUCUCUUUCCAUUUGAUGUUAGUCUUCUGGACAAGUUGUUUUAUGAAGAUCAGGUCAUUUUCAAACAAAUUUUUUCGAAAUAUAGUUUACAUCUGUUUUUCUUUGAAAAGACAGUUUUGUUAUAAAUGUGUUAUAUUUUUGUAUACAUAGAAUACAUACAACCUACUAAAUAAAGCAAACUGUUCAAGACUUCUCAUGGUGCUCUUGUGAGUUUUCCCUAGCCAACAUUUUAGG
This is a long non-coding RNA of Lampris incognitus (smalleye Pacific opah), 1391 nucleotides long. RefSeq lists it as uncharacterized. The record is from RefSeq and is a predicted model, not a curated record. The transcript has 3 exons. Lineage: Eukaryota; Metazoa; Chordata; Actinopteri; Lampriformes; Lampridae.